CCUGUUUUUUGGCAGGAAAAGACCCAGAACCAGGGAGCUGGAUCUUCAUGUCCUCAAACGACAGAAGUUGAAAGCAGGUGGCUCUCCAAGCAGGAGAAGGUGAAGCUCCAGGGUGAAACCCCAGCAGAGGGCAGCCAGGGGUGAGGAGAGACCUGAAUGCGCCUGGGAUUCAGUAACACGGCUGGGAGAGAACUCCAUUGCCAGCCUGGAGCUAGGUUCCUAGUCCAGCCAAGCGGCCAAGUGAAAGGGGUGGAAGUCAGAGAGAGGGUCGCUGACAGCGGGGUUUAGCAUCCCACAAGGGAAACACAGUGAAGAUAGGGAGCCAGUACUCUCCUCUGGAGGCAUUUUGCAUCAGGAGGAUGGGCAAGGGAGUCCAGGUGUCCUUUGGGGAGCCUCUUGUAUCCUCGGUGACUUUCCCUGGCAGGCACGUCAGGGAGGAGCUGCGCUGAUGUCUGGAAGGAUGGCAGGAGGAGGAGGAACCCGGCAGCACAGCCUUCCUGAAGUUCCUGGCUUGGGCUCACGGGGGAGCUGGGUCCACUCUCAGAGAAGAAAAUGGGAAAAGACAAGAAAGUCAAGUCUCUGCCGACAGAGCCUGGGUCUUGCUCCAGCCGCUAGCGUGAGUUUGGUGGCCUUGAGAAUGCCCCUCACUCCCCUGUUCUCUCGAGCUCCACACUUGGGUAAGCACUUCUCGUGUGACAAUCCCUGAGCCCUGCAGUGUGUGGGACCCAGAGACGAGGCAGCCCGGCCCAGCUCUUGAGUUCCCCCAGCGGGGUAAGAGGAGAGGGGUGCGAAUAUUGAGUCUUCAAG
RNAcentral lists this long non-coding RNA (807 nucleotides) under Ursus thibetanus thibetanus. RNAcentral describes it as "lncRNA (ENSUTTG00000000495.1)". The record is from RNAcentral. Lineage: Eukaryota; Metazoa; Chordata; Mammalia; Carnivora; Ursidae.